This 524-nucleotide ribosomal RNA is filed under the name uncultured bacterium. Its description in RNAcentral is "partial 16S ribosomal RNA". It matches the Rfam family "Bacterial small subunit ribosomal RNA", at positions 28 to 523 of the family's 1533-position model. The record is from RNAcentral.
GACGAACGCUGGCGGCGUGCCUAAUACAUGCAAGUCGAACGCUUCUUUCCUCCCGAGUGCUUGCACUCAAUUGGAAAGAGGAGUGGCGGACGGGUGAGUAACACGUGGGUAACCUACCCAUCAGAGGGGGAUAACACUUGGAAACAGGUGCUAAUACCGCAUAACAGUUUAUGCCGCAUGGCAUAAGAGUGAAAGGCGCUUUCGGGUGUCGCUGAUGGAUGGACCCGCGGUGCAUUAGCUAGUUGGUGAGGUAACGGCUCACCAAGGCCACGAUGCAUAGCCGACCUGAGAGGGUGAUCGGCCACACUGGGACUGAGACACGGCCCAGACUUCUACGGGAGGCAGCAGUAGGGAAUCUUCGGCAAUGGACGAAAGUCUGACCGAGCAACGCCGCGUGAGUGAAGAAGGUCUUCGGAUCGUAAAACUCUGUUGUUAGAGAAGAACAGGGACGUUAGUAACUGAACGUCCCCUGACGGUAUCUAACCAGAAAGCCACGGCUAACUACGUGCCAGCCGCCGCGGUAA